RNAcentral lists this ribosomal RNA (332 nucleotides) under uncultured Coriobacteriales bacterium. RNAcentral describes it as "partial 16S ribosomal RNA". The record is from RNAcentral. Lineage: Bacteria; Bacillati; Actinomycetota; Coriobacteriia; Coriobacteriales.
GGAGUUUGGACCGUGUCUCAGUUCCAAUGUGGCCGAUCACCCUCUCAGGUCGGCUACUGAUCGUUGACUUGGUGGGCCGUUACCUCACCAACUAUCUAAUCAGACGCGAGCUCACCCCUCACCGGAUCGCUCCUUUGACCCCUGUACCAUGCGAUACCGUGGUCUUAUGCGGUAUUAGCACCUGUUUCCAAGUGUUAUCCCCCUGUCAGGGACAGAUUGCUCACGCGUUACUCACCCGUCCGCCGCUAAAAUACAGCUCCCUUCCGCCGAAGCCUCCGUUCCCUGUAUCUCCGCUCGACUUGCAUGUGUUAGGCACGCCGCCAGCGUUCGUC